AUAGCGUAUAUUAAAGUUGUUGCGGUUAAAAAGCUCGUAGUUGGAUCUGCGGCCUGGGAGGCCGGUCCCCCACAGGGUGCGACUGGUCGAUCCGGGCCUACCUCGCCGGUCGUCCCGCGGUACCCUUUACUGGGCGCCACGGGUGGCCGGCAAGUUUACUUUGAAAAAAUUAGAGUGCUCAAAGCAGGCGCGUAGCCUGAAUAGUGGUGCAUGGAAUAAUAGAAUAGGACCUCGGUUCUAUUUUGUUGGUUUUCGGAGCGCGAGGUAAUGAUUAAGAGGGACAGACGGGGGCAUUCGUAUCGCUGCGUUAGAGGUGAAAUUCUUGGAUCGCAGCGAGACGGACAACUG
Molecule: ribosomal RNA, 348 nt
Filed under: uncultured eukaryote
Lineage: Eukaryota
Description: SSU rRNA
Rfam family: Eukaryotic small subunit ribosomal RNA
Source: RNAcentral